Molecule: ribosomal RNA, 322 nt
Filed under: uncultured Limnofilidae
Lineage: Eukaryota; Cercozoa; Limnofilidae
Description: SSU rRNA
Rfam family: Eukaryotic small subunit ribosomal RNA (bases 48-322)
Source: RNAcentral
GAUUUCUGGUGUGGUGCGCCGAGCCCGCCACUCAACGUGGCGAGUGCUUGCGUGCGCCUACCAUCCUUCUGGAUAGCACGUUCUGCCCUUUACUGGGUCGGAGCGUGUCUUCUGGAUCUUUUACUUUGAAAAAAUUAGAGUGUUUAAAGCAGGCUUAUGCUGUGAAUACAUUAGCAUGGAAUAAUAAGAUAGGACUUUGGUUCUAUUUUGUUGGUUUCUAGGACUGAAGUAAUGAUUGAUAGGGACAGUUGGGGGUGCUAGUAUUUAACGGCCAGAGGUGAAAUUCUUGGAUUCGUUAAAGACUAACUUAUGCGAAAGCAUU